This 1810-nucleotide long non-coding RNA is filed under the name Amborella trichopoda. Its description in RNAcentral is "long non-coding RNA (ATRI_LNC000514)". Lineage: Eukaryota; Viridiplantae; Streptophyta; Magnoliopsida; Amborellales; Amborellaceae. The record is from RNAcentral.
AAAUGCCUUUACUGCAUCAUUAAACACCUUUACUGCAUCAUCAGGUUGAGUCUAGACCUGCCAGGCCGCGUCACAGUUAGGCCUGUAGCCCGAUACUUGGAUCUCAGAAGGACUAAAUGGUCAUUUGUUAGAUAUUUUUAUUUGUAGAUACGAUUCGGGCGAUUUUUUUACCGUUGGAAAGCUCUCAAGCUCUACUUCAAGUUGGGAUAGAUUUUGGGCAGUUUUGGAGCAAUUAUAUUGUGUCUAUAUUGCUUAUGGGCUACUAGAGUUUGUGUGGUCCUUUAGGCUCAGAAUCAAGGUUUUUAGAAGUUCCCAUAGCCAGAAUUUCGAAGGAGGUGUCUACACCUAGUAAGAGUUUGUCUUUGUUUAGGGUUCAAUAACUAAUAGCAAACAAUUGACAUCUAGAAUCUAUAUAAAAUUCAUGUAAAAGAUAAAAAAAAUAAUACUAACAAAAAGAAGAACGAGGAAAAAGAGAAAAGAUCUCAAGCAUGCAUAUGACAUCAUAAAAAUCCAAGCAUGGGCAAAUUAAAAAUGAAGGACUCACCAAAAGGGGCAAAAAUUAAUACGUAAAACACCCUAAAACUGUGGCAAAUUAAUAAUGAAUGACUCUCCAAAAAUGGGGUAAAGAUUAACAAUAUUUCAUCCUAAAAAUUGGGGCAAAAGUAAUAAAAAAAUGAAAAAAAAAAAAAGGAUGACAAAAUUAUCCCUAAGAAAUUCUUAAUAAGAGCAAUAUUACGUUGGAAAGGUUGGAUGCCCAGAAAAAUGGUCCCAACAACCCAAAUAUUUUAGGGCCAAAAGGACCCGUGGUCUAGAUGCCAAAUACCGUGGGGUCCAAUCAAGCUGGGCCCAAACGUCAGGCGUCUGGCACAGAGAGCCCAUUGCACAGUGGCAUGUCCGAAAAAUGGCAUAAAAGGUUUGAAAGCGAGCAAAGAUCGAAGGAAAACAUCCAUGGAGCAUUCUAUCUAACAUUUCAAAGGCAUGUUCCGACAAACUGUAGGGGUAGAAUUUAAUAUGCUUGCGUCAAAUUUGAGGCAAAAUUCUUGGGGCAAAUCACAGAUCCAUAUGUAUUCUGUUCAAACUGACAACUUUUGAGCCAAACAACAACUAAUGUUAAAAUGAAAAUCAACCAAGAAGAGCAUGCAUGAGUAAACUUGCAAAAAUGAGAAAAUGGAAAAAAAAAAAAAUGGAGGAUUUGCCCAUACGAGCAAAAAUGAGAAAAUGGAAACAAACGGAAGAGGAUUUAUCACUAGUUUUCAAGAAGAAAAUGGAGUAAACACUACAAAACUUUUGAUGAACGGAAAAGAGAAAAAAAAGAACAAAUGUGUUUUUAUAAGGGCACACCUUUUCGUUAGCCUUGCUCUUCGAAAUGUGCUUCAGACUCGAGUUCUAUUGUAGAACCUCAACAGUCAUCUGCGAUUCGUUGGCGUUUGAGAAAGUGAUUAGCAGAUAAGUUUUGGUGGGCAUGGUGAUGAAAAUGGUAGAGGGAAAGAUGGGAAAGUGGUAGAAAUGGAGUCCACCGAUAAGUAUCCUAGAGAGUUGAUAAAGGGGUUAAAAUGAGGCAGGAGAGAAAACGAAAACAGAUAAAUGAAUUUUUUUUUUUUUUGUAGAAGAAGAUUAAAGAUUGGAGGUUUGCUUUUUGUAAGAGAGAGAGAGAGAAAGAGAGCGAGGAAACUGUUAACAGAAGUAAAAGGGCGUUUGCACCGGUUUAAAUCCAGGAAGUGCAGGCCGCGCUUUGUGGUGUCUGCAUAUGUUUCGCAAACGGCAUCUACUGUGGCGCUUAGCACGAAUUUCCUGAAACUUUCCAGAAUGC